UGGGUGACGAGUGGCGGACGGGUGAGUAAUGUCUGGGGAUCUGCCCGAUAGAGGGGGAUAACCACUGGAAACGGUGGCUAAUACCGCAUAACGUCGCAAGACCAAAGAGGGGGACCUUCGGGCCUCUCACUAUCGGAUGAACCCAGAUGGGAUUAGCUAGUAGGCGGGGUAAUGGCCCACCUAGGCGACGAUCCCUAGCUGGUCUGAGAGGAUGACCAGCCACACUGGAACUGAGACACGGUCCAGACUCCUACGGGAGGCAGCAGUGGGGAAUAUUGCACAAUGGGCGCAAGCCUGAUGCAGCCAUGCCGCGUGUAUGAAGAAGGCCUUCGGGUUGUAAAGUACUUUCAGCGGGGAGGAAGGCGACGGGGUUAAUAACCCUGUCG
This 386-nucleotide ribosomal RNA is filed under the name Pantoea sp. R-46081. RNAcentral's name for it is "bacterial SSU rRNA". It matches the Rfam family "Bacterial small subunit ribosomal RNA", at positions 85 to 474 of the family's 1533-position model. Lineage: Bacteria; Pseudomonadati; Pseudomonadota; Gammaproteobacteria; Enterobacterales; Erwiniaceae. The record is from RNAcentral.